Molecule: non-coding RNA, 19 nt
Filed under: Arabidopsis thaliana (thale cress)
Lineage: Eukaryota; Viridiplantae; Streptophyta; Magnoliopsida; Brassicales; Brassicaceae
Source: RNAcentral
UUGGAUUCAUGCUCCACCA